UUACCUAAAUUAGUAAUAGCACUUUUAUUAUAAACGCUAUUUUUUCUUUAAAAAAAUAAUAAAAAAAUUGCAGGGUCUUUAUUAAUAGCGCUUUUUUCACGGGCGCUAUCAUAAGUUAGAAUUAAAUAAAAAUUAACUGAAUCUAUAAUAGCCCUUAAACGAUAAACGCUAUUAUACAUUGAAAAAAAUUGUAGGGCCUUUAUUAGCGCUUUACCAGAAGCGCUAUCUUUUAUUCAGAUAUAUAAUUAGCAAGAUUCGAACUCGAACUCAGGUUUGGACGGUAAUAUUUUUAGUUUGCACAUAUGAUAGCGCUUUACUUAAUGCGCUAUCUUAUAUUGAGAUAAUUGAGAUAGUUAAAUCAUAAAGAUAAAAUUUAUGCGUGUUGACCAGGUUCGAGCACGUUACCUUUGGGGUGCUGUACGCUUGUUUUUUCCACUGAGAUAUUCAACUUAUUUGUCAAAUGCGCUCAAAUGUAUUAAUAUAUAUUAUUUCAAUGUUAUUACAGGAAAAAAACAAAUUAAUUAAACCCCAAUUUCUUCGGUGAAAACAUUCCCUAAAACCAUUACCCGCUCACUUCAUAUUCUUUUUCACAAAAUUGCCCACGAGCUGCAUCUUCUGUAAACCCUAAACCCUGAAUCGAACCGUUAUCUUCUCUUAAUCAGUUUUCGUUUCCAUUUCAAUUGCAAAUCGACAACAAGUGGAGUAUUAGAAGGUCCUUCGGUUUUGUGUUGUGAGGAUAAUCGAACCUAACUCUUGCUUUGAAUCUAUGUCGAUUAAUCUACACGCUCUCUGUGUUUUCGUUCUUUAAAGAUUCAGCAACAAGAUUGUAACUUUUGCAGGCUCUUUGUUCUUCUAUCUACCUCCCUCUAGGAGCUUUGGUAAAAUCACUUCAAUAUUCUGACCUGUAUCUUUUCAGUCAAAAAUUGUACAACACACUUCUUACAAAUUAAAGUUAUGGAUCGGAAAUGGAUGUUUGCUAAUCAAACCUCAAAAGAAUACGAAGAUGGAGUGAAAGAGUUUGUUAGAUUUGCUGUUGCUCAUGCAAAAGACACUGUUGUUACAAUAUAUGUCAGUUCAUUACUCCGAACGGAUUAGUGAAUAAGUUCUCAUUCAUAUCUCCAUAUGUCUCAAGUGAUGAUAAAGAAGGAAAAAACAUAGCAAAAUUACUCUUGAUAAAUAAAGAGUUCAAGGAAAGGAUGAUUCUUGCCCCUUAUAAUUUUGGGAAUCAUUGGGUGUUGCUUGUCAUCAAUCUCAAUGCUGAGAUUAUAUAUUAUAUGAAUUCGGUGAAUGUUGAGCACGAUAACUAUCAUGAUUUAAAAAUGAAGUUUGAAAAUGCUUUGCACAUUUAUCGUGCCUCUGAUAAAGUUAAAGUGUCCAAGUCUAAAUCAAAUAAAAUCACAUGGACAAAAAUAAAAGUGUCCUUGUCAAACUAACAGUAUUGACUGUGGAUAUUUUGUCAUGCGAUUUAUGAAGGAGGUCAUCAUGGAAAAUCAAAAUAAAAUUCCUAUUACUUUCCCGCACGCAAAUGUGUUACUUAUUCUGAAAAUAAGUUAGCUGAAGUCAAAGAGGAUUGGGCUUCCUAUAUGCUAGAGGAUGUUAUUCGAAAACAAGUGGGAAAAUAUUUCAUGCCCUCGACGUUGGAUAACUUAUGAGUUUUUCUGGCUUAGUGUUUUUUUGGUGGUUCUAUGCUUCUUUUGUAAUGUGCAAGCCUUGCAUUUAUGUUGCCCUAUACUUCUUUUAAGUUGGUUGUAAUGUCUUUUGAUUAUAUAUAUAGAACUAAUUUGUGUCUAUAUAAUAUUUUUUAUUGAUACAAAUUAAGUAUCAUCUUUUAUAUGA
Long non-coding RNA from Vicia villosa (hairy vetch), 1836 nucleotides. RefSeq lists it as uncharacterized. The transcript is spliced from 10 exons. The record is from RefSeq and is a predicted model, not a curated record. Lineage: Eukaryota; Viridiplantae; Streptophyta; Magnoliopsida; Fabales; Fabaceae.